GACGAACGCUGGCGGCGUGCUUAACACAUGCAAGUCGAACGGAAAGGUCCUGCUUUUGUGGGGUGCUCGAGUGGCGAACGGGUGAGUAGCACGUGAGUAACCUGCCCUUGACUUUGGGAUAACUUCAGGAAACUGGGGCUAAUACCGGAUAGGAGCUCCUGCUGCAUGGUGGGGGUUGGAAAGUUUCGGCGGUUGGGGAUGGACUCGCGGCUUAUCAGCUUGUUGGUGGGGUAGUGGCUUACCAAGGCUUUGACGGGUAGCCGGCCUGAGAGGGUGACCGGCCACAUUGGGACUGAGAUACGGCCCAGACUCCUACGGGAGGCAGCAGUGGGGAAUAUUGCACAAUGGGCGGAAGCCUGAUGCAGCAACGCCGCGUGCGGGAUGACGGCCUUCGGGUUGUAAACCGCUUUCGCCUGUGACGAAGCGUGAGUGACGGUAAUGGGUAAAGAAGCACCGGCUAACUACGUG
This 468-nucleotide ribosomal RNA is filed under the name uncultured bacterium. RNAcentral describes it as "partial 16S ribosomal RNA". It matches the Rfam family "Bacterial small subunit ribosomal RNA", at positions 28 to 507 of the family's 1533-position model. The record is from RNAcentral.